GAUCCGGUAGUUCAGCUGGUUAGAAUGCCGCCCUGUCACGGCGGAGGUCGCGGGUUCGAGUCCCGUCCGGAUCGCGA
This 77-nucleotide transfer RNA is filed under the name Chryseobacterium gleum. RNAcentral's name for it is "tRNA-Asp". It matches the Rfam family "tRNA". Rfam says of the family: Transfer RNA (tRNA) molecules are approximately 80 nucleotides in length. Their secondary structure includes four short double-helical elements and three loops (D, anti-codon, and T loops). Lineage: Bacteria; Pseudomonadati; Bacteroidota; Flavobacteriia; Flavobacteriales; Weeksellaceae. RNAcentral also lists the same sequence under 5 other names. The record is from RNAcentral.